Molecule: long non-coding RNA, 808 nt
Organism: Pseudoliparis swirei
Lineage: Eukaryota; Metazoa; Chordata; Actinopteri; Perciformes; Liparidae
Exons: 3
Source: RefSeq, a predicted model, not a curated record
UAUAUUUAUAUUUUUUGGGCCGGCUAAUGUUGUGGUAAUGUUAUUUCAACCUGCUAGCUAGCAGAUAGAUUAUGCUAAUCUUAGCUGUGGUAAUGUCAUUUCUACCUGCUAGCGAGCUAAAUCUGGUUAAAACAUUAGGUAACAAAGUAAGAUUAAUUACUGUAGAUUAAUCACUGUAUUUGAGUGAUUGUUAAUGGUUAGUGGUUAUCUUUCAAAUGAUGCCUGUGAGGCACUUGACGUUGAGACUGGUUGACUUCCAGGCUGCUUUGGAAUAAGGAUACCUCUGAGGCAGCCACCAGUUUUUGGAUAACUCUGAGGCAUCAUAGGUAGUGUUGACUGCCAGGCUGCCUAGUCGUUGGUAUACAGGUUAACUCACAGGCAUCCAGUUGGUUUUAGAUACCUGUAAGGCAUCUAGACGGACAUUAAGAGGGCUGACUCCCAGGCUGCUUACUAACACUGGUUAGCUCUCAGGCAGCCAAUUAGCUUUGGAUGCCUUUGAGGCACCUGACGUUGAGACUGGUUGACUGUAGACUGAUAUCCCUUAGUUAAAUUGUCCUCAUGCCUCCUCAUACAGAUAGGCCUAUUGAAUAAAUCUGCCAGAUUAUUUUUAACAUUGCAUAUGCCUAACAUUAUGUGAUAAUACUAAUCACACUCAUAUUGCCUUUCUCUUUCAGUUUAUGAAGAAAUGGCACCCAGGAAGGUAGGACGGAAGCGGAAGGCCCUGCAGGUGUCAAAAGGUGGACCAUCUGCAAAGAUCGCAAUUUUCCACCAGUCACCACUGGUUGGUGGAGCCUCCGCCCCAGCCCCA